CCUACGGGCGGCUGCAGUGGGGAAUAUUGGACAAUGGGCGAAAGCCUGAUCCAGCCAUGCCGCGUGUGUGAAGAAGGCCUUCGGGUUGUAAAGCACUUUCAGUGGGGAAGAAAGCCUUGGGGCUAAUACCCUCGAGGAAGGACAUCACCCACAGAAGAAGCACCGGCUAACUCCGUGCCAGCAGCCGCGGUAAUACGGAGGGUGCGAGCGUUAAUCGGAAUUACUGGGCGUAAAGCGCGCGUAGGCGGUCUGAUAAGCCGGUUGUGAAAGCCCCGGGCUCAACCUGGGAACGGCAUCCGGAACUGUCAGGCUAGAGUGCAGGAGAGGAAGGUAGAAUUCCCGGUGUAGCGGUGAAAUGCGUAGAGAUCGGGAGGAAUACCAGUGGCGAAGGCGGCCUUCUGGACUGACACUGACGCUGAGGUGCGAAAGCGUGGGUAGCAAACAGGAUUAGAUACCCGAGUGGUC
Molecule: ribosomal RNA, 465 nt
Filed under: Vreelandella stevensii
Lineage: Bacteria; Pseudomonadati; Pseudomonadota; Gammaproteobacteria; Oceanospirillales; Halomonadaceae
Description: partial 16S ribosomal RNA
Rfam family: Bacterial small subunit ribosomal RNA
Source: RNAcentral